This 1079-nucleotide long non-coding RNA is filed under the name Cottoperca gobio. Its description in RNAcentral is "lncRNA (ENSCGOG00000003001.1)". Lineage: Eukaryota; Metazoa; Chordata; Actinopteri; Perciformes; Bovichtidae. The record is from RNAcentral.
CCUAGUGUACUAAUCUUUUCUUGAAAGGGGAGGGGGGGGGGUGUCCUCUCUUCACUCAGCAUUGGACAGCAGCUGAGCUGAGUGCUCCUCCUCGCCUCAAUCAUCCUUAAAACCUGCUGGAAACACACCGACACGCACUCAUUUACCUGCUGCUGAUAACCGGGACAAGAUGUUCUGCAGACGGGCAUUGCAGAGAGUCGGGCCGCUGGCACGGAGGGCUUUCAAACCCACAUCCAAUAAUGCAGCUCCAGUGCGACACAUGGCCUUUGGGGUCCCUGGUGGCUCCAGCAACAUGGCGUACUUUGUCCUGUGUGGAGGCGGCCUCACUGCUGCUGUCGUCUAUGCCUACAAGACAGUCAAUGGUGACGGUGUGGACAAACUCGCAAACAUGGACUCCACAGCAAAGGCUCCUUCGGCCGAGGUAGUGCCAGAAGUGGUGGCUCCUGCAGCUGAACUCGCCGAGGUAGUCGCCGCGGAGGUUGUUGCCGAGGUCGUGGCGGAGUCUGUCCCUGCUCCAGCAGUAGCGGAGCUCGCUGCCGAACCGGUCGCUGAGGCAGUGUCUGAAGAAGCGCCCGCCGCCGUGGCCUCUGAGGUGGUCGUCGUUGAGGCUGCAGCUGAGCCAGCAGUCACAGAAGAAGCCGCUGUAGUGGCAGACGCUGUCACAGAAGAAGCCGCUGUAGUGGCAGAGGCUGUCCCUGAAGUUGCGGCCGCAGAGGAGACAGCCGAAGCUGUGGAGACACACAGUGAAGCAGCAGUAGUUAUGGACACGACUCAGCUGGCAGCAGCCUCCUCUGGGUCGGACCUGGAGGUCCUUACAGCUGCUGAACCAGAGUCUACAUCCGAGGCUCCAGUACAUGAGGCCAAGCUCUGCCACUCUGCCCCAUCACAAGCAGAGGAGGUGGCGCCGCCUGCUGAUUCGGGAGGGCAGCUGGCCAGUGAGGAAGCUGUGGAUCUAACACAUGACGUCAAGGAGGAAGUGUCCCUGGUGGAAGGACAAAGUAAGAACAUACUGUAUGAAGUGCCAGUCACAAGCUUUUGAAAAUCCAUACCUACAUUAGUAUUGUUUAUAAUGCUGCAUA